GAUGGGUGUCAAUGGAGAAAAUAUGGCCAAAAAAUGGCUAAAGGAAACCCUUGUCCACGAGCCUAUUAUCGCUGCACAAUGGCUGUGGGUUGCCCUGUUCGCAAACAAGUAUGUAUUAUAUAUAUAUUAUAUCAAUUAAAAUAAUCAUCUAAUUAUAUAUAUAUAUAUAUGUAUAUAUAUAUAUAUCUAAAUAAAAAUGUCAUAUUUGUUUUAGGUUCAACGUUGUGCUGAAGAUAGGACUAUAUUGAUAACUACUUACGAAGGCAACCACAACCACCCACUUCCGCCGGCGGCGAUGGCGAUGGCGUCAACCACGACAGCGGCGGCUACUAUGUUAUUAUCAGGGUCUAUGUCAAGUGCGGACCAUAACUUAAUGAACCCAAAUUUAUUAGCCCGAGCCAUACUUCC
RNAcentral lists this long non-coding RNA (408 nucleotides) under Cucumis sativus (cucumber). RNAcentral describes it as "long non-coding RNA (CSAT_LNC002538)". The record is from RNAcentral. Lineage: Eukaryota; Viridiplantae; Streptophyta; Magnoliopsida; Cucurbitales; Cucurbitaceae.